RNAcentral lists this ribosomal RNA (230 nucleotides) under Candidatus Hydrogenedentota bacterium. RNAcentral describes it as "partial 16S ribosomal RNA". It matches the Rfam family "Bacterial small subunit ribosomal RNA", at positions 1307 to 1533 of the family's 1533-position model. The record is from RNAcentral. Lineage: Bacteria; Pseudomonadati; Candidatus Hydrogenedentota.
GCAACUCGACUCCAUGAAGUCGGAAUCGCUAGUAAUCGCGCAUCAGCCAUGGCGCGGUGAAUACGUUCCCGGGCCUUGUACACACCGCCCGUCACAUGACCCGAGCUGGGUGCACCCGAAGUCACUGGCCCAACCCGCAAGGGAGGGAGGUGCCGAAGGUGUGCUUGGUAAGGGGGAUGAAGUCGUAACAAGGUAGCCGUACCGGAAGGUGCGGCUGGAUCACCUCCUUU